AAAUUGAAGAGUUUGAUCAUGGCUCAGAUUGAACGCUGGCGGCAGGCCUAACACAUGCAAGUCGAGCGGUAGCACAGAGAGCUUGCUCUCGGGUGACGAGCGGCGGACGGGUGAGUAAUGUCUGGGAAACUGCCUGAUGGAGGGGGAUAACUACUGGAAACGGUAGCUAAUACCGCAUAAUGUCGCAAGACCAAAGUGGGGGACCUUCGGGCCUCAUGCCAUCAGAUGUGCCCAGAUGGGAUUAGCUAGUAGGUGGGGUAACGGCUCACCUAGGCGACGAUCCCUAGCUGGUCUGAGAGGAUGACCAGCCACACUGGAACUGAGACACGGUCCAGACUCCUACGGGAGGCAGCAGUGGGGAAUAUUGCACAAUGGGCGCAAGCCUGAUGCAGCCAUGCCGCGUGUGUGAAGAAGGCCUUCGGGUUGUAAAGCACUUUCAGCGGGGAGGAAGGCGUUAAGGUUAAUAACCUUGGCGAUUGACGUUACCCGCAGAAGAAGCACCGGCUAACUCCGUGCCAGCAGCCGCGGUAAUACGGAGGGUGCAAGCGUUAAUCGGAAUUACUGGGCGUAAAGCGCACGCAGGCGGUCUGUCAAGUCGGAUGUGAAAUCCCCGGGCUUAACCUGGGAACUGCAUUCGAAACUGGCAGGCUAGAGUCUUGUAGAGGGGGUAGAAUUCCAGGUGUAGCGGUGAAAUGCGUAGAGAUCUGGAGGAAUACCGGUGGCGAAGGCGGCCCCUGGACAAAGACUGACGCUCAGGUGCGAAAGCGUGGGGAGCAAACAGGAUUAGAUACCCUGGUAGUCCACGCCGUAAACGAUGUCGAUUUGGAGGUUGUGCCCUUGAGGCGUGGCUUCCGGAGCUAACGCGUUAAAUCGACCGCCUGGGGAGUACGGCCGCAAGGUUAAAACUCAAAUGAAUUGACGGGGGCCCGCACAAGCGGUGGAGCAUGUGGUUUAAUUCGAUGCAACGCGAAGAACCUUACCUGGUCUUGACAUCCACAGAACUUUCCAGAGAUGGAUUGGUGCCUUCGGGAACUGUGAGACAGGUGCUGCAUGGCUGUCGUCAGCUCGUGUUGUGAAAUGUUGGGUUAAGUCCCGCAACGAGCGCAACCCUUAUCCUUUGUUGCCAGCGGUCCGGCCGGGAACUCAAAGGAGACUGCCAGUGAUAAACUGGAGGAAGGUGGGGAUGACGUCAAGUCAUCAUGGCCCUUACGACCAGGGCUACACACGUGCUACAAUGGCAUAUACAAAGAGAAGCGACCUCGCGAGAGCAAGCGGACCUCAUAAAGUAUGUCGUAGUCCGGAUUGGAGUCUGCAACUCGACUCCAUGAAGUCGGAAUCGCUAGUAAUCGUAGAUCAGAAUGCUACGGUGAAUACGUUCCCGGGCCUUGUACACACCGCCCGUCACACCAUGGGAGUGGGUUGCAAAAGAAGUAGGUAGCUUAACCUUCGGGAGGGCGCUUACCACUUUGUGAUUCAUGACUGGGGUGAAGUCGUAACAAGGUAACCGUAGGGGAACCUGCGGUUGGAUCACCUCCUUA
This 1538-nucleotide ribosomal RNA is filed under the name Klebsiella pneumoniae. Its description in RNAcentral is "bacterial SSU rRNA". It matches the Rfam family "Bacterial small subunit ribosomal RNA". Lineage: Bacteria; Pseudomonadati; Pseudomonadota; Gammaproteobacteria; Enterobacterales; Enterobacteriaceae. The record is from RNAcentral.